Molecule: long non-coding RNA, 296 nt
Organism: Gasterosteus aculeatus aculeatus (three-spined stickleback)
Lineage: Eukaryota; Metazoa; Chordata; Actinopteri; Perciformes; Gasterosteidae
Source: Ensembl
UGUUAGUAUGUCAUGAAUAGAAUUUCAAAAAAAGAAUAUUCCUGUGUUGUUAUAUUAUUUUUUUUUCUCUGAUCAAAAAAAAAAGACAACGGAGCUCAGCGACGUAACGCAGACCAGAGGAGCUUCACGCAAACACGUAAAUGGCAUCACGGGUUCGCCGGUGAACGGAGGGAUCCGUCCAGCGCGCACGGAGAAGCCUGCGGGAGAUUCAAUUGACCGCACUCGAUUUUGCCGCCGAUUGAGGGUAAAACAAACACUAGUGGGACGAGGUGAAACGAAAUCCGUACUGAAAAGCG